RNAcentral lists this ribosomal RNA (216 nucleotides) under uncultured Glomus. RNAcentral's name for it is "partial small subunit ribosomal RNA". It matches the Rfam family "Eukaryotic small subunit ribosomal RNA", at positions 569 to 787 of the family's 1831-position model. Lineage: Eukaryota; Fungi; Glomeromycota; Glomeromycetes; Glomerales; Glomeraceae. The record is from RNAcentral.
AGCAGCCGCGGUAAUUCCAGCUCCAAUAGCGUAUAUUAAAGUUGCUGCAGUUAAAAAGCUCGUAGUUGAAUUUCGGGAUCAAUUUACUGGUCGUGCCUAUGGUACGUACUGGUUUUAUUGGUUCCUCCCUUCUGAGGAGCCACGAUGUCAUUAAUUUGGUGUCGUGGGGAAUCAGGACUGUUACUUUGAAAAAAUUAGAGUGUUUAAAGCAGGCUU